GACGAACCACACAAACGUUAUUCGGAAUUACUGGGCUUAAAGGGUGCGUAGGCGGCGCGGAAAGUUGGGUGUGAAAUCCCUCGGCUCAACCGAGGAACUGCGCCCAAAACUACCGUGCUCGAGGGAGAUAGAGGUGAGCGGAACUUAGGGUGGAGCGGUGAAAUGCGUUGAUAUCCUAAGGAACACCCGUGGCGAAAGCGGCUCACUGGGUCUCUUCUGACGCUGAGGCACGAAAGCUAGGGUAGCGAACGGG
RNAcentral lists this ribosomal RNA (253 nucleotides) under uncultured bacterium. Its description in RNAcentral is "partial 16S ribosomal RNA". It matches the Rfam family "Bacterial small subunit ribosomal RNA", at positions 524 to 776 of the family's 1533-position model. The record is from RNAcentral.